CGCCGAACAGCUAGCCCACCUGAACAACUUCAACACACCCAUAUAAAUACCCCUAAAUAUACAACCUAAAAUAAAACAAAUCAUUUUACCCCCUUAGUAUGGGCGACAGAAAAGGGAAUAGGCGCGACAGAGACAGUACCGCAAGGGAACGCUGAAAGAGAAAUGAAAUAACCCAGUAAAGCACUGAAAAGCAGAGCUAAACCCUCGUACCUUUUGCAUCAUGAUUUAGCCAGUGAUUCUCAAGCAAAAAGAUUUUUAGUUUGUUAACCCGAAACUAAGGGAGCUACUCCAAGACAGCCUAAUAAUAGGGCGCACCCGUCUCUGUUGCAAAAGAGUGGGACGAGCUUUGAGUAGAGGUGACAAACCUACCGAACUUAGUUAUAGCUGGUUCCCCAAGAAAUGAAUAGUAGUUCAGCCUCCCGGAUUCUCCCUUCACCUCAGUAUAAACACAUCCCUGAUAGCCAAAGAAGCCGAGAGAGUUAUUCAAAGGGGGUACAGCCCCUUUGAAACAAGACACAACUUUCCCAGGCGGGUAAAGAUCAUA
RNAcentral lists this ribosomal RNA (544 nucleotides) under Harpagifer kerguelensis (Kerguelen spiny plunderfish). RNAcentral describes it as "partial 16S large subunit ribosomal RNA". It matches the Rfam family "Bacterial large subunit ribosomal RNA", at positions 150 to 1050 of the family's 2925-position model. Lineage: Eukaryota; Metazoa; Chordata; Actinopteri; Perciformes; Harpagiferidae. The record is from RNAcentral.